Molecule: ribosomal RNA, 693 nt
Filed under: uncultured rumen bacterium
Lineage: Bacteria
Description: bacterial SSU rRNA
Rfam family: Bacterial small subunit ribosomal RNA
Source: RNAcentral
GAAGUUUUCGGAUGGAUUUUUCAAUACUUAGUGGCGGACGGGUGAGUAACGCGUGGGUAACCUGCCUCACACAGGGGGAUAACAGUUGGAAACGACUGUUAAUACCGCAUAAGACCACAGUACCGCAUGGUACAGGGGUAAAAACUCCGGUGGUGUGAGAUGGACCCGCGUCUGAUUAGUUAGUUGGCGGGGUAACGGCCCACCAAGACGACGAUCAGUAGCCGAUCUGAGAGGAUGACCGGCCACAUUGGGACUGAGACACGGCCCAAACUCCUACGGGAGGCAGCAGUGGGGAAUAUUGCACAAUGGGGGAAACCCUGAUGCAGCGACGCCGCGUGAGUGAAGAAGUAUUUCGGUAUGUAAAGCUCUAUCAGCAGGGAAGAAAAUGACGGUACCUGAGUAAGAAGCCCCGGCUAACUACGUGCCAGCAGCCGCGGUAAUACGUAGGGGGCAAGCGUUAUCCGGAUUUACUGGGUGUAAAGGGAGCGCAGACGGCGCAGCAAGUCUGAAGUGAAAGCCCGGGGCUUAACCCCGGGACUGCUUUGGAAACUGCUGUGCUUGAGUAUCGGAGGGGCAGGCGGAAUUCCCAGUGUAGCGGUGAAAUGCGUAGAUAUUGGGAAGAACACCAGUGGCGAAGGCGGCCUGCUGGACGAUAACUGACGUUGAGGCUCGAAGGCGUGGGGAGCAAACAGG